Molecule: non-coding RNA, 1746 nt
Organism: Rattus norvegicus (Norway rat)
Lineage: Eukaryota; Metazoa; Chordata; Mammalia; Rodentia; Muridae
Source: RefSeq, a predicted model, not a curated record
AUGCCCUGAGGAACUAUGGGUUCUCUUUGAUUCGAAAGCUUGAGAAUCUCAGAAUCACAUUGUGGUGAAAAUUGUUUGGGAGUUUCUACACCACCUUGGGUCAUUUGGUUCCCAAUUAAAUGACACAAAACCAUACUAUUUAAAAUAGGCCUUAAAAGCACUAGAACUGGGCAGAUAUCAACCCUCUGUGCUAUUUUGUCUACUUCCCUGUCAAUGACCCUAAACUGUGUCUUGCCAUGUUCCACCAUGCUCCUGUUCCAACAGUCUGGAUCUCAUGGCUCUGUAUUCAUGAUCCACCUACCCCCAUGGUGUCUUUUCCUUCCUCUUCUCCUUUCCCUCCUGGUCUCUGCUUCAGACCUCAAACCCAAGAACCAAAGCCCAGCUAUGGGCCAUGGGCAUCUUUAUUCACCAAUAGUUUUACAUUAAGGAGCAAGGCUUGCACAACAGAAGCUGGCACACAAGAGAAUUCACUCAUUUUGAGAUGACUAGAUUUAUGCUUCAGAAUUUAGCACUAUAGUACCUAGCAACAGACAAAGCCCCAACAGAAUCCUGUGAGUGCCUGGUGCAGAAUCAAUGCAAAACAGUCUUUGCUGAACAGACACACAGGUGCAGCCAGAAAUGGCAAGAGGGGACUGUGAUAUUUGCUUAUCAAACUGUCGUGUGAGGAUGUUCUGGAGAAUGUGAAGCAUACAUACCGACAGGGACGGGACUCAGAAACAGAUCUACAGUUAAGUGAUGCAUUUCAGACACAUUCCGCACAGACAAGCCAAGAUUUAGAGACCAGAUAUGUCCAUUUUUACCAGACCUGGCUACCAUCCACCAACAACCCCAUAGAGCACUUGCAAACAAGCAAGUGUCGUUUUUCAAUGCCAAGUGUACGCCAGAAGUUACUGAAGAAGUAAUGGCUCUCCUCCUCAUCUGUGCUCACCAGCCUGUAAAAACCUCAGGGAGGGAACAAAGACCAUAAUAGCACUGACUGGAACAUUAAGAUGAAGAAAGACGUCUCAGCUAGACUCAGCAGCCCUGUGACUGGUACAGGCCCCACACAGCCAAGAGAGCAGCCUGAUCAGCAAUGGCUUCAUUCUGUCUUGAUCGGGAGACACAGGAAGGAAAUGCCAGCUCCUGGACAGAGAGCCCUGGAGAGGGCCAUGCUGAGCGGGAGUCAGAGCAGGGGAAGUUCCCUCCCAGCCUGCACUGAGCCCUGUUCUCUGUCCUCACUCAUCUCUGUCGCUUCUCAUCGCCUGUCCAUCCUCCCACCACAUCUGCCUAAGAAAUAUGUUUGUGGUCGCCACACCCCACGGUAAGGCAACACAUCUCUUUGCCUACAAGACCAUGAACUCCUGGAAGUCACCAUUUGAAUACAUCUCCCAGGAGUUCCUGGUUUAUUUUUUUUUUCUCAGCUUGAAGAUUAGCUCAGGUCUGUGGAAGAGCAUCUGGAUAAGAAAAAAAAAUUUUUUUUCACAAUAGAGGGUGGGACGCUGGUGGAAACUCCACUGGAGUGAGACCAUGGAGAAUCUCGCUCACAUCAUAUACCAUGGACAAAAUUCUCAUUAGCAAGAAAGUUCUGACCUUUUGCCUUCCCUAAUCUCCUGACACCAGGAGAGCAAAAGAACACACAUCUAUAAAAGGUUUGCUAGUCACUGGGUAAACUCUGAUUCUGAAAGAAUACAAGUGUGUCCACAGCACGCACCACUCUCUGAUCGGACUUGACCUUCUUCAUGUCACCAUUAAAAAACUUGAUGACGG